UACGUAGGGGCGAGGGCGUUGUCCGGUAAUUCGAAUUUGGGUGCGUAAAGGGUGUGUAGGCGGCUUUGCAAGUCAGAUGUGAAAUGCCACGGCUUAACCGUGGAACUGCAUUUGAAACUGCAGGGCUUGAGUUCGGAAGAGGAAAACGGAAUUCCUAGUGUAGCGGUGAAAUGCGUAGAUAUUGGGAGGAACACCAGUGGCGAAGGCGACUUUCUGGUCUGUAACUGACGCUGAGGCGCGAAAGCGUGGGGAGCAAACAGG
This 261-nucleotide ribosomal RNA is filed under the name uncultured bacterium. RNAcentral describes it as "partial 16S ribosomal RNA". The stretch from base 33 to 261 matches the Rfam family "Bacterial small subunit ribosomal RNA", at positions 548 to 776 of the family's 1533-position model. The record is from RNAcentral.